This 78-nucleotide transfer RNA is filed under the name Desulfobaculum xiamenense. RNAcentral's name for it is "tRNA-Glu". It matches the Rfam family "tRNA". Rfam says of the family: Transfer RNA (tRNA) molecules are approximately 80 nucleotides in length. Their secondary structure includes four short double-helical elements and three loops (D, anti-codon, and T loops). The record is from RNAcentral. Lineage: Bacteria; Pseudomonadati; Thermodesulfobacteriota; Desulfovibrionia; Desulfovibrionales; Desulfovibrionaceae.
GUCCCCAUCGUCUAGCUCGGCCCAGGACACCUGCCUUUCACGCAGGCGACAGGGGUUCAAAUCCCCUUGGGGACGCCA